AGCUGGUAAAUCGGAACCAAAU
This 22-nucleotide microRNA is filed under the name Saccoglossus kowalevskii. RNAcentral describes it as "Sko-Mir-133-v2_5p* (star (passenger))". Lineage: Eukaryota; Metazoa; Hemichordata; Enteropneusta; Harrimaniidae. The record is from RNAcentral.